GACGAACGCUGGCGGCGUGCUUAACACAUGCAAGUCGAACGGCAAAGCGCCUUCCGUUUUGGUGGGUGUGGAGGAGUGGCGAACGGGUGAGUAACACGAUAGUAACCUGCCCUCUUGUUCUGGAUAACCGCAGGAAAGUGUGGCUAAUACCGGAUACUCUGGGUCUGUGGCAUGAUGGGUCUGGGAAAGAUUUUGCUUCGGUGGGGGAUGGGCUCGCGGCCUAUCAGUUUGUUGGUGUGGGGAUGGCCUACCAAGGCGGUGUCGAGUAGCCGGCCUGAGAGGGUGGACCGCCCCGGAGGUGAUGCAACGCGGCCAAUCCUACGAGAGGCAGCAGCGGUGAGGAUUAUAGAACAAUGGGAAGCCGGCUGCUGCAGCGCCGCGUCGGGAGGGAUGGCGUCCGUCUUGUAAUGACCUUCUUUCGCCAGUGAAGCGGGCCUGCCUAGUAUCUGGGUGGGUUGACGGUACCUAGAUAAUAAGCGCCGGCUAACUACGUG
RNAcentral lists this ribosomal RNA (494 nucleotides) under uncultured bacterium. RNAcentral describes it as "partial 16S ribosomal RNA". It matches the Rfam family "Bacterial small subunit ribosomal RNA", at positions 28 to 507 of the family's 1533-position model. The record is from RNAcentral.